RNAcentral lists this ribosomal RNA (2728 nucleotides) under Pinus taeda (loblolly pine). RNAcentral describes it as "eukaryotic LSU rRNA". The stretch from base 400 to 2716 matches the Rfam family "Eukaryotic large subunit ribosomal RNA". The record is from RNAcentral. Lineage: Eukaryota; Viridiplantae; Streptophyta; Pinopsida; Pinales; Pinaceae.
AAUCUCGACAAAAAAUAUCUCAGCUCUUGUUACAAUGAAGAACAUAGCGAAAUGCGAUACUUAGUGUGAAUUGCAGAAUCCCAUGAUUCAUAGAGUUUUUGAAUGCAAUUAGCACCUGACGCCUCAGUCGAGGGCAUGUCUAUCUGGGCAUCACAUCCCAUUCAAAUGCGCUCCCUGCAAUAUGUUAGUGAGAAGCGGAGCUGGUCAUCCAUGCCCAAUGUGGUGCAUUCGGCUGAAUACCUGAAGCAAUGUUUCAUGGUGUGCAUCGGCGAUCGGCGAUCUUGUCCCCUUGGAUGGGCUAUCAAUGUUAGCUGAUGCGGGCUUUGUGCGGCAUCGCUCGAACUUUCUUUGCUCUCUCUUUUCCUCCCAUCGGGUAGGGAAAAUUUAGCUCCAUCUUUGCGACCCCAGCUCAGGAAAGAUCACUUGCUGAGUUUAAGCAUAUAAUUAAGCAGAGCAAAAGAAACUUACCAAGAUUCCCCUAGUAGUGGUGAGAAAACUAGGAAGAUCCCAGCAUGAAAAUCGGGUGACAGCAUCGCUUGAAUUGUAGUCUAUUAUCAAACUUUAAAUAGAGAAGAGGGUGUGACUGCUCCAUUGAGCCACGCCAUGGAAUCGAGAGCUCCAAGUAGGCCAUUUUAGGUAAGUAGAAAUGGCAAUCCGGGAUGAACCGAAAGUUGAGUUACGGUGCUGAAUUGCACGAUAACCUAAAUCCCACAAAGGGUGUUGGUUGAUUAAGACAACAAGACAAUGGUCGUGGAAGUCGAAAUUCGCUAAGGAGUGUGUAACAACUCACUUGCUGAAUCAACUAGCCCCGAAAAUGGAUGGCACUGAAGCACGCAACCUAUACUCGACCAUCGAAGCAAUUGCCUGGCUCUAGUGAGUAGGAGGAUGUGGGGGUCAUACAAACUUUAGGCAUGAGCUUGGGUGGAUCGGCCCCCGGUGUAAAUAUUGGUUGUAGUAGCAAAUAUUCAGAUGAGAAAUUUCAAGACUGAAGUGAGGAAAGGUUCCAUGUGAACAACACUUGGACAUGGGUUAGUCGAUCCUAAGAAUGGGGAAGCCUUGUAUCAAGGGUGCACUCUGCAUGACCAUUAAAACAAAAUUGGGUUAAUAUUCCUAAACCGAGACAUGGCGGCAGGCAGCAAUGUUAGAAAAUCCGAAAAUGUCGUAGGGGGCCCUGAGAAGAGUUAUCUUUUCUUUUUAACAGCUUCCCCACCCUGGAAUUGUUUCACCCAGAGAUAGGGUCCAAUAGUUGGAAGAGCACCACACAUCUUGCAAUGCCUUGUGCACCCUCAAUGGCCCUUGAAAAUCUGGAGGACUGAGUACUGUUCAUGCCCGGUCAUAGUCAUAACCGCAUUACGUCUCCAAGGUGAACAACCUUUGGUCAAUAGAAAAAUGUAGGUAAGGAAAGUUAGACAAUCGACUCAGAAUUGGUACGAAUAAGGGGAAUUUGAUUGUUUAAUUAAAGAAAAGCAUUGCGAUGGUACCUGCAGAUGCUGACACAAUGUGAUUUUUUCCCAGUGCUCUAAAUGUCAAAGUGAAGAAAUUCAACCAAGCGCGGGUAAAUAGCGGGAGUAACUAUGACUCUCUUAAGGUAGCCAAAUGUCUCAUCAUCUAAUUAAUGAUGUGCAUGAAUGGAUUAACGAGAUUCCCACUAUCCCUAUCUACUAUCUAGUGAAACCGCAGCCAAGGGAACGGGCUUGGCAGAAUGAGUGGGGAAAGAAGACCCUGUUGAGCUUGACUCUAGUCCGACAUUGUGAAAUGACUUGAGAGGUGUAGAAUAAGUGCGAGUCGUUUUCGGUGCAAGUGAAAUACCACUACUUUUAACGUUAUUUUAAUUAUUCCGUGGGGCGGAGAUGGGGCACCGCCUCUAUUUUUGGCCUUAAGGCACAUUUCGGCCGGUCGAUCUGAGUGGAAUACAUUAUCAAGUGGGGCGUUUGGCUAUGGCGGCACAUUUGUUAAAAUAUAACGCAAGUGUCCUAAGAUGAGCUCAACGAGAAUAGAAAUCGCAUGUGGAACAGAAGUGUAAAAGCUCAUUUGAUUUUGAUUUUAAGUAUGAAUACAAACCAUGAAAGCAUGGCUUAUCGAUCCUUUAGAUUUUUGGAAUUUGAAGCUAGAGGUGUCAGAAAAGUUACCACAGGGAUAACUGGCUUGUGGAAGCCAAGCGUUCAUAACGAAGUUGCUUUUUGAUCCUUCGUUUUUAUCUCUUCCUAUCAUUGUGAAGAGAAAUUCACCAAGUUUUGGAUUGUUCACCCACCAAUAGGGAACAUGAGUUAUCUUUAGACUGUCAUGAGACAAGUUAGUCUUACUCUACUAAUGAACUGCUCUGCAAUAGUAAUUCAACUUAGUACGAGAGGAACCAUUGAUUCACACAAUUGGUCAUUGUGCUUGGUUGAAAAGCUAGUGGCGCAAAGCUACUGUGUGUUGGAUUAUGACUGAACACCUCUAAGUCAGAAUCCAUGCUAGAAGAAUUGCAUUUCACUCUUUGACUAUAUCUCGACCCAUAGUAGGGGUAUCGCUUUGUCGCCCCCAGUGGCCCGUGUCAUUUUCAAACCGCAACCGUGAAGCAUCUCAGUCGGGGCAGCUUUGAAGUUCAAUUCCAAAUGGUUGUUGAGAAUAAUCCUUUGCAGAUGACUUAAAUACACUAUGGGGUAUUGUAAGUGGCAGAGUGGCCUUGCUACAAUGAUCCACUGAGAUUCAGCCCUUGGUCACCUUGAUUCAAAGCUUCGCUCUU